UACGGAGGGUGCAAGCGUUAUCCGGAUUCACUGGGUUUAAAGGGUGCGUAGGAGGGCAGGUAAGUCAGUGGUGAAAUCCCCGAGCUUAACUUGGGAACUGCCGUUGAUACUAUCUGUCUUGAAUACCGUGGAGGUGAGCGGAAUAUGUCAUGUAGCGGUGAAAUGCUUAGAUAUGACAUAGAACACCAAUUGCGAAGGCAGCUCGCUACACGAAUAUUGACUCUGAGGCACGAAGGCGUGGGGAUCAAACAGG
RNAcentral lists this ribosomal RNA (253 nucleotides) under uncultured bacterium. RNAcentral's name for it is "partial 16S ribosomal RNA". It matches the Rfam family "Bacterial small subunit ribosomal RNA", at positions 524 to 776 of the family's 1533-position model. The record is from RNAcentral.